RNAcentral lists this ribosomal RNA (405 nucleotides) under uncultured bacterium. RNAcentral's name for it is "bacterial SSU rRNA". It matches the Rfam family "Bacterial small subunit ribosomal RNA", at positions 28 to 452 of the family's 1533-position model. The record is from RNAcentral.
GAUGAAUGCUGGCGGCGUGCCUAAUACAUGCAAGUCGAGCGGUAAGGCCCUUCGGGGUACACGAGCGGCGGACGGCUGAGUAACGCGUGGGAACAUGCCCCAAAGUGAGGGAUAACGCACCGAAAGGUGUGCUAAUACCGCAUAUGGUCUUCGGAUUAAAGGAUUUAUCCGCUUUGGGAGUGGCCCGCGUACGAUUAGAUUGUUGGUGAGAUAACGGCUCACCAAGUCGACGAUCGUUAACUGGUCUGAGAGGAUGAUCAGUCAGACUGGAACUGAGACACGGUCCAGACUCCUACGGGAGGCAGCAGUAAGGAAUCUUCCACAAUGGGCGAAAGCCUGAUGGAGCAACGCCGCGUGCAGGAUGAAGGCCCUCGGGUCGUAAACUGCUUUAUGAGUGAAGAAUAU